This 253-nucleotide ribosomal RNA is filed under the name uncultured bacterium. Its description in RNAcentral is "partial 16S ribosomal RNA". It matches the Rfam family "Bacterial small subunit ribosomal RNA", at positions 524 to 776 of the family's 1533-position model. The record is from RNAcentral.
UACGAAGGGGGCUAGCGUUGCUCGGAAUCACUGGGCGUAAAGCGCACGUAGGCGGAUCUUUAAGUCAGGGGUGAAAUCCUGGAGCUCAACUCCAGAACUGCCUUUGAUACUGGGGGUCUCGAGUCCGGGAGAGGUGAGUGGAACUCCGAGUGUAGAGGUGAAAUUCGUAGAUAUUCGGAAGAACACCAGUGGCGAAGGCGGCUCACUGGCCCGGUACUGACGCUGAGGUGCGAAAGCGUGGGGAGCAAACAGG